RNAcentral lists this ribosomal RNA (495 nucleotides) under uncultured bacterium. Its description in RNAcentral is "partial 16S ribosomal RNA". It matches the Rfam family "Bacterial small subunit ribosomal RNA", at positions 28 to 507 of the family's 1533-position model. The record is from RNAcentral.
GACGAACGCUGGCGGCGUGCCUAAUACAUGCAAGUAGAACGCUGAAGGAGGAGCUUGCUCUUCUGGAUGAGUUGCGAACGGGUGAGUAACGCGUAGGUAACCUGCCUGGUAGCGGGGGAUAACUAUUGGAAACGAUAGCUAAUACCGCAUAAGAGUAGAUGUUGCAUGACAUUUACUUAAAAGGUGCAAUUGCAUCACUACCAGAUGGACCUGCGUUGUAUUAGCUAGUUGGUGGGGUAACGGCUUACCAAGGCGACGAUACAUAGCCGACCCGAGAGGGUGAUCGGCCACACUGGGACUGAGACACGGCCCAGACUCCUACGGGAGGCAGCAGUAGGGAAUCUUCGGCAAUGGACGGAAGUCUGACCGAGCAACGCCGCGUGAGUGAAGAAGGUUUUCGGAUCGUAAAGCUCUGUUGUAAGAGAAGAACGAGUGUGAGAGUGGAAAGUUCACACUGUGACGGUAUCUUACCAGAAAGGGACGGCUAACUACGUG